RNAcentral lists this ribosomal RNA (374 nucleotides) under uncultured organism. Its description in RNAcentral is "bacterial SSU rRNA". It matches the Rfam family "Bacterial small subunit ribosomal RNA", at positions 526 to 896 of the family's 1533-position model. The record is from RNAcentral.
CGUAGGUGGCAAGCGUUGUCCGGAAUUAUUGGGCGUAAAGCGCGCGCAGGCGGUUCCUUAAGUCUGAUGCGAAAGCCCCCGGCUCAACCGGGGAAGGUCAUUGGAAAACUGGGGGAACUUGAGUGCAGAAGAGAAGAGCGGAAUUCCACGUGUAGCGGUGAAAUGCGUAGAGAUGUGGAGGAACACCAGUGGCGAAGGCGGCUCUUUGGUCUGUAACUGACGCUGAGGCGCGAAAGCGUGGGGAGCAAACAGGAUUAGAUACCCUGGUAGUCCACGCCGUAAACGAUGAGUGCUAAGUGUUAGAGGGUUUCCGCCCUUUAGUGCUGCAGCUAACGCAUUAAGCACUCCGCCUGGGGAGUACGGCCGCAAGGCUG